GGGGAAGUUGAGGGCCUGGGAGCCCGAGGCCAGAUGGAGGCAAAGAGGAGUGAGGCUGCUCACAGACCCUGGUGGGCUGGGUUCUGGAAGAAAACCAUGGGCUGACCAGCUCCAGGGCCUGGCUGAGCCUCAGCCAGGUUCUGCCAGAGCUGGCUCAACAGCGGCACCUGCCGGCUGGGGCCCUCUCUGCGGGGAAGGGCUCCUCCACCGCCCUGGGAGCCCCGCGGAGAAGAAAACAGAGGCUCAGGGAGUUUAUGACUGCAUUCAGAUCCUAGUUCUGACAUUUACCAGCAAUAUGACAUUGAAUAAGUCAGUCACUCCAGAGGACACCGAGCUCAGUGAGCACAUUGGCGAGGCCUGCCCUGCCGGGAUGCUGUUUGCCUUACAGUAACACGUAGAAUGCCUCAGUGUCUGGCACAGCACUGGUACUCAGAAGACGUCAGUGAUGACUGCUGUCUAAAGGGAAGGGAUAUGUACCUGGGACAUGUAGCCUGUACUCUCUUCACUGGGAAGCAUUGACAAGGACAGGUCAGUAACUGACUGAAUUACCUGGAGGACUUUAAAAGACACAGAUCCCUGACCGUACUCCCCCCAGAUUCUGAUUGUGAUACAUGGCCGGGUUUGGGAGCCUGUGUCACUGGGGUAUGGCUCAUGCGGUCUUUGCUGGUCCACUCCCUGGGGCUGUCCUCUAGUGAGUUACAUAGAAAGGAUAGCGUUGGGUUGGGUGCAGUGGCUCACACCUGUAAUCCC
This 750-nucleotide long non-coding RNA is filed under the name Homo sapiens (human). RNAcentral's name for it is "HSALNT0241328". The record is from RNAcentral. Lineage: Eukaryota; Metazoa; Chordata; Mammalia; Primates; Hominidae.